Long non-coding RNA from Xiphias gladius (swordfish), 3580 nucleotides. RefSeq lists it as uncharacterized. The transcript has 5 exons. The record is from RefSeq and is a predicted model, not a curated record. Lineage: Eukaryota; Metazoa; Chordata; Actinopteri; Istiophoriformes; Xiphiidae.
CUCUUUCCGGGGACCGUAAUCGCGUCAAUGAGUGCAAAGUGCGGAAGUUUCUCUCGGAGUUAAGCGUCGAUCCGUCUCCUGCGGUUCCGCCCAAACUGACACCGGAACCUUAAAACCGUCCGGCUCCGGAGAGUAAAACGCUGGUAUUUUCCAUCUGAAAAGGAGCAUUUGACAAAGAAAACGGAAGAAACCUCCCGGCGGUGAAUAGAGCCGGUAGACCGAGCUCCGCCUCGACCAGCUCCCGUGUUACUGCAUCACGUUUAAUAUUCCAAUAACACACGCUACACGUGGACACACACACACACACACACACUUGGAGAAGCUUCGUUCUGCCCAACGAGUCCUUCGACUUCUGAUUCUUUACAUUUAUAAGAUUAUGGGAAUUUGUUGACCUUAUUAGACUGUGACCUGCGGCGCAUGGUGGACCGGCUUGCAGCUGAAUGCCAAGCGGCGAGGAUGAGGGUCAGGACCUCCAAGUCCCCGUCCAUGGUACCAUGGUACAAUGGUGGAUUGCUUCCUGUUGGUUGGCAGCGAUUCCUUGUCCCGAUGGGUUACAGUAUCUUUGAGUUCUGUUGACAUUGUAUGUCUGUGGUUACACUGCUAGGAAUGUAAGGAGCUGAAUGAAUGUCCCAAAAUGUGGAAAAGAAGCCAAGCAAACCUGGAGUGGACAUAUAAUGCAUGUGAUUAAUUAUAGUGUUGUUAACACUGUCUGUUACUGUUCUUUGGGGAAUUAUUGUUAGGGUAAUUCAGGAUUUGUUCCCUUUAAAAUGCUCUGUGAAAACAAAUAUUCGAAAAGAAAAAUGUUUGUUGUCUUUGAAAAGCAGGAGGUAAACCCACAGGCCAACCGGUCUCGACGGACACCCAGCCGGGUACAGCAGGGUCGGGUCCGUGAACACUGAGAAACAGGAUUAUCAGAAGAAAGACACACUGAGCAGGAUUCUGAGCGGGCACCAUUAAAACUCCAAAAACAGUCGAAAAACACUGAAGCUUCUGAAAGACCGAUAGCAUCAGAUUGUAAAGAAAGAUGGAAAACAAGAGCACCUGAAAUGAUCCCGGCUCUGGCCAUCCGACCAGAGUGUCGCUCGAGAACUGGGGAGGAGAGCCAAGGAGGAAAUUUCCAAGACCAGUAAAGGCACAGCUGAGAACUUCUGGUUAACCUUUCCACCAGAAGAUGCUUUCGACCAGUCUGCUAACUCCAGUAGACGUUUUCCAGAAUACUGAUGGCACCGCUGACAGUUUCUGGUUCACUUUAACAACACCAGAAGAUUUCCUGGAUCACCCGACGAAUUCAGACAAGGGCAGUUCUCCAGAAGACUGGACAACCCCGAGAGAGGAGUUUUCAGACAGCGUUAACAGAUAUGACAACACAUGAGAAUAUAAGUGAACGUUUUUGGAAACAGCUUUUAAUUAUAUCAAUAAAGAAUAAAGGUUAUUCCCUCUGGUAAGACUUUAUUCUUGAUAUGAGGAAUAACAUUCCACAUACCGAUGGAAAACACAGAUCAUAUCAAGUCAAAAUAUGUUUUCUUGGUCCAAUUUUGAGCAGAGGUCGAUGAAAGGCAAACAAAACCAAACAAAGAUCAGGCAGGUGGACAAAGACCAAGAGUAGGAAUUAUUAGUUGUAAACCGGAAGGCAGGUAACUAGAACUAGGGAUGGAACAUUAAAGGCCUGGUCACACCAGAAAGUGCAGCAGUGAAAUUAAUCUGCAUGACUUUGCACAAUAUUUGGUGCUACAAUACAACGUGGUGAUGUAGUGACUUUACUCAAUGGGGCUAGCUGGUGAACUGGUGCAGCUGGCACGCUAACUGCUACUGGACAAACGCUAGUAACUGUCCACUGGCAAACUCAUUUAGGUUCUCAGCUUAACUUGUUCCCAAACAGGACAAGACCCCCCAGUUUAUUAAGUACGAUGCUCUCCUGUCUCCUAACUGUGUGUAAACCAGCAGUGUAUACUCCGACAGAGGAGGUUCGGUAAAGCUGGAUGGUGACGAACAGCCAUUAAGCUUCCUCCAUUUUCUCUUUUCCCUGAAAGAUUAGCUCUGUCCAGACAGGUUGCUAUCGGUCAGUAUUACAAAUUUGUGAGUAACAGUUCUUCAAAGUUGAACUACAUGUGGAAAAUUUGCGCAGGUUUAUUUCACCCAGCCAGUGAGUCCACUAAUUGUGACGAUUCCGUAGGAAUGAACCAAAACUGGCCACAAAAUGUUGCUGUGUUAAAUGCUGGUGUGACCAGGCCUUAAGGUGGUAGAAGAGGGGCCGGUAGAUAUACUGAGUUACUGAUGGGGGAAGGUGUAGGUGUGCAGGUGGGUGUAGGGGCCAGAAGAUGGUGGGAACACACUGAAGGCAGCUACAGGACAUCUCUGCAAUGAGAGAUGUUAGUGACGGCCAGGUACGAGAGAUGGACCGGAUGUGCAAACAUGAACUAGUCUGAGGCUGCUGGUGUGAUAGAAAACCUUUCCCGAAGCCUGCUCCCGAACCCACUGCUUUCAGUGCCUAAACAGAACCUUUAAAAAGGUUAACCGUGCCUCAGUUGCUGCAGGCUGAUAUUGUCGGAAAAACAAUGAAAAGCAUUGUCAGUGAACAUUUUUCAACUUGGCAGAUAUUUUCCUUAAAAAUGUUUUCUCAUUGUGUUGAUAAAAAAAAACAAAAAACAUAAUUCUAGUGGCAUAAUGUUUCUCCCAAAACAUAUCUGCUGUUUCCCUACACAUGCGGAGAGUGUCCUUCCUACAGCUUGCACAGAGACACUGAGGAGUUAAACGACCAGAACAAAAACCCGGGGUAAAGGGGUUCAGUGAAUGUGGUGCGGAAGGUGUGGAGGUGGAUCAGUGAGUCAGAGGAGACUCUGUAGAAGGACAGGGUGCCGGCAGGAAAGUCCACGUACACUGCUACUCUGUGAGAGGAGGGUUGGGGAGGGAUCACUAUUUCUCUGUUACCGUGCCAGGCAGAGUAACCACCAUCAGAGCACUUCAGACUCCAGGACUGAUCGUUCCUUCCAAGCCGACAGUCAACAUUGUUAUCUCUCCUCCGGAUUCCUCCGUAAGCGACGCCGAUGUCAACCCACCCUCGCCAGUCAACUUCCCAAUAACAACGGCCUGUCAGACUAUUCCUAUGCAGCAGCUGAUUGCUGUGAAACCUCUCUGGAUGAUCGGGAUAUGGCUGCUCCUUUCGCACCGCUGUCACCUUUCUGUUGUUGUCGGACAGCUGGAGGAAUCUGUUCGCUGUGUUUGGGUCCAGCUCCAGUUUGCAGGCAUCUGAUGGAGAGAACAGGACACGAUACAGCUGCAUUUUAUCAUCUGACACACUUUAUGGGUAUAUUGUUUGUUCUCUUCCGAACAGAUUUUUUCUAUCAAAUUUAAUGACGCAUUACAUGUCAUCCAUCUCUUGUGAGUAGAGCAAUUGAAUAUAAGCCAGAAUUAGAAAUUGUGGGUUGUUUUGGUGAGAUGAAUGAAAAUGAAUACACACAUUUCCUUAAACCAGGUUUUAACCUCUGUUCCCCACCAUGGUCCACCCUGGAGGAAGAAACACAGUCAGACCAGCAUUUGUUACGGAAUCAUGAACAUUAAACAACCCUCCCCUUGAAUGAUU